Molecule: long non-coding RNA, 3449 nt
Organism: Equus asinus (donkey)
Lineage: Eukaryota; Metazoa; Chordata; Mammalia; Perissodactyla; Equidae
Source: Ensembl
GCCAGGGUAGGGCCUCGAGCUGGGGGGCAGUGAGGAUGGGAAACGCUCCCAGCCCCAGUCAGCGGCUCCCGGGGGGGUGGGGGUUCAGUGAAUGAGUCAAGCGGCUUUUGUUCCUCUUGUUUUCGCUCAUUCCGUGAAGGAUUUCUCUUGACUCAUGAUUUCCCAACCAGCUCCUUCUGCAGCUUAAGAAAGCAAGAGUGAAUAAUUGCUCUGGUUUUUUGCUGCUUGGGUUUUUUCCUUCAUUACAGGAAUGUGUAAACACCCUGGGUUUUCAGAGACCGGCUGCCAAACCCCGCGUCGGAGGCUCCUCCUGCUUUCGGGCAAUGGCUGGCAUCCUCGCUGGGGGAACUGGGCUGACCCUGCUGGCGAGGGCUGACCCUCACCAAGUCGUCAAGGACCCUGGCCUGGGAGAGGUGGUGGAGGCCAUGCCAGAACUUCUUACCCGUCUGUUAUGGGCUGAAUCGUGUUCCCCUCAAAAUGCAUAUGUUGAAGGCCUAAUCUCCAGGACCUCAGAACGCGGCUGUUGCUGGAGAUAAGGUCUUUGAAGACGUGAUUAAGUUAGAAUGAGGUCAUCAGGGUGGGUCCUGAUCCACUAGGCCUGGUGUCUUUACAAGAAGAGGAGAUCAGGACACAGACACGCACAGAGGGACGACCACGUGAGGACACAGGGAGAGGACGGCCAUCUGCCGGCCAAGGAGGGAGGCCCCCGGAGAAACCAACGUGCUGACACCUUGGUCUUGUACUUCCAGCCUCCAAGACCCUGCGGUUUAAGGCCCUGGCUUGUGGCGCUUUGUUACAGCCACCUGAGCUGACUUAUACAGCAUCCUUGCCCUCUCUGUGCCCAGGAGAGGAGCCUUCCCUGCCCCCUUACCACACCCAUGACUGGGCAGUAAAUCCCCACGGCUGGGCGAGGCUGACAGCCCCAGUCUCCUUGUGCUCCAGCUCUGGGGAGAUGCUGGGGGGCAGGUAUCUCUACUGCUCAGCAGCCCUAGGUGGGAGGCAUGAGGGAGCAGAGAGGCCUAGGUGGGCAAGCGAGCCCAGCAGAAUCCCACACGGAGAAUGCGGGUGAGAAGGAGCCUGUGCCAUCUGCCUCGUGUUCUGGGGGGACUCACACUCCCUGGCUUUCCCGGUUGUCCCCUUGCACUCAGAAGUGGCAUGGUGCAGGGCCGGGAACGAACAGCUGGACGCACACAGAUCGGCUUCUCAUGAAGUCUCCAUUUCACGUGUGGCCUUCUGCCGCGGCCCCUGCUCCUCUCAGCUGCCUUGUGAGGGAAGUCACCCCCGGACAGAGCCAGAAGUUCUGGGAAGAGAACUGAAGGACCUUCGUCACUGCCACCCACCGCCUUCUCCACCAAGACGCCCCUGACCGCUAUCACAGGCCACAACAGAGAAUGCACAACGGAACACACCCGUCCUCUCCGUCUAUCCCUCCUCGCGGAAAGUCAGAGUGAGGAUGCCAAAGGGGCUUAGGUUCCAUGCCAGGUCUGAGCUUCGGUGGCGGUCCUGUGCCAGAGGCCUGACAGGGGCCCUAAGUCCAAUGACUGGGGUCCUUAUAAGAAGAGGGAAAUCUGGCCAGAGGCCGUGUGACAACAGAGGCAGAGAUGGAGGGAUGCGGUCACAGCCCAGGGAUGUCUGGAGCCCCCAAAAGCUUGAAGAAGCAGGAAGGAUCCCCCUAGAGCUUCCGAGGGAGCCUGGCCCUGCAACACCUGGAUUUCAGAUGCUGCCUCCAAAACUGUGAGAGAAUCAAUUCUGGUUUUUAAGCCUCCCAGUUUGUGUUAAUUUGCUAUGGCAGCCACAGGAAACUAAUAAAGGGCCAUGGCGGGGCCUUCUGUGUGGUGAGGUUGGCCUGGCCAUCAUAGGAUGAUGAGCAGCAUCCCUGGCCUCAACCCACUGGAUGCCAGUAGAACUCCUCCCAUCCCCCCACCAAGUUAUGACAACGCAAAAUGCCUCCAGACACUGCCAAGGCUUGUGGAGCCUUUUUGGGGCAAACAGUCAGUGCCUUCCAAACGCAUCUGGCUGCCAAAGGAGGUCCCGACCAAAGAGAGAAAGGAGGGCCCGGCUUUGGAGCGUGCUUACACCCCAUGUCUGUGCAUCAGCCCGUGGUCAGGGAGCUGGGAGCAGACCUGCCUCCUAUCUUCUCUCUGGUCUGGGCUGCAACAGAGGAGACGAGGGGACUCAGGUUCGAGUCCCACUGCUGCAGAGUCAAAGCCACAUUCCCACAGCCUCCUGCGUGUGGGGUGUGUGCUGAGAGAAGGAGAGGAAGACUCUGAAAUCCCCCCGCUCUGGCCUGCCAGGUGCAGGCGGUCAUGGGCUUGUGGGGAAACAUGGGGAUGCUUGUGGAAUGUCACUGAGGGCCUUCAGGCAAACCCCUUCACUGUGGAGGGGGCACCUUAGGGCAGAGCCCCAGGAAGGGGUGGCCAUGGAGCCUCCCGUGCCCCAGCUGGCUGGUCCAGGCUCUCCACCCUCGACCGACCGCCCAGAGCUGGGUUGCAGAGGGCCUGGCUCCUGGUGGCCACUCCUGAAAGCAGACCCUUGGGACAGCUCUCGCAUCUGCAUGCUCUCUGGGGACACCGGGGGACAGGCCCUCCAGGGCUCCAAGUCCACCUUUGCUUCGGGAGGCCCAGGCUGGCUCCAUCGAAGGUGUGGAGCCCCAGGAAUGAGGUUUCCUUGCACAUGGUCUUCAGUUACUUCCCCGGAUCCCCAGGUGGGAUGCAGCUUAAGCUCACUUCCUCCUGUCUCGUCAACAGCGAUGACGGGAAACAGCUCCUCCACUUCCGGGCAUUGCUAGAACAUGAGGUCACCCUCGUCCUCUCCUCCCAGCCUCGUCCUCCCAGCGGUGUCCGGGUGCCUCUGCUCUGAACGCUUGCAGAGACCUCUCAACCUUCCCAAGUGAGGACGGGGCACAGCCUGCCCCCAGGACCCGGUCCCUCACCCGGCCUGCGUCCCGAGGGGCAGGAGGGGGACUCAGCCCCUGUUCAGUCUCUUAGGUGCCUCAGCACGUGCUCCUUGUCACCUCGUCUCCACUGCAGGGACAGCCUUUUUCUCCCCAGCUCCUGCUUUGCCGAGUGGAGAGCUGGUGCAGUGUCGUGGCAGGAUGCGGUGAGAGGUCAGCCUUGAGAUCAGAAGGACAUCUGGUGAUCUGGGGACACCUCCCCCUGCCCAAGGAGCUCGGCACAUACCCGCCACGGACCUGAGUCUGCCGUGUGCACAAUGGAGAGAAACGACCAUCACGAGGGGCACAAUUACCUCUCAGGCCGUGGCCCCAGCCCUCACCUGGGCACCGAGUUCAACCCCUAACAACAGAGUCAGCCACGGGCGGAGGACACACAACGUCCGGGCCCUCUCCUCAGAGCCUCCCAAGUGCUGAAUAAAUAAACUUCUCAGGAAGCGAUGAGAGUGCCGUCAGCUGUGCCAUGGCCCUGCAGAGGGGGUCACCAAUUGAGUGUGUG